UACGGAGGAUCCGAGCGUUAUCCGGAUUUAUUGGGUUUAAAGGGUGCGUAGGCGGCUUAGUAAGUCAGCGGUGAAAUUUUGCAGCUUAACUGUAACAGUGCCGUUGAUACUGCCAGGCUAGGAUUUGGUUGCUGUGGGUGGAAUGUGUGGUGUAGCGGUGAAAUGCUUAGAUAUCACACAGAAUAUCGAUUGCGAAGGCAGCUCACAAAGCCAAGAUUGACGCUGAGGCACGAGAGUGUGGGGAUCAAACA
This 251-nucleotide ribosomal RNA is filed under the name uncultured prokaryote. Its description in RNAcentral is "partial 16S ribosomal RNA". It matches the Rfam family "Bacterial small subunit ribosomal RNA", at positions 524 to 774 of the family's 1533-position model. The record is from RNAcentral.